RNAcentral lists this long non-coding RNA (1670 nucleotides) under Homo sapiens (human). Its description in RNAcentral is "non-protein coding lnc-FNDC1-8:1". The record is from RNAcentral. Lineage: Eukaryota; Metazoa; Chordata; Mammalia; Primates; Hominidae.
AUUGUAUAUCAAGUGCUCAGAAGAGUGACAGGCGCAUAGCGAGUUCUGGGUAACUGUGGACCAUUAUUAUUAUUAGUAUUCUAAAGUUUCUCUGUCAAGAAAGAGUGUCACAAACAUUAAUGAUGGUUCCUACCUUGUACACUAUGAGCUGAUCCUAUGAAGUUUAUAGGACCACAGUUAUCUACUGCAAGGAUAAAACAGAAGCCAUUUUUCUAGAAUAUUUCAGAAAGUAAAAGAAGAUGACACAACCCCAACCAUUUCCUGCCAAAGCCCUACAUCUGUGGCUACGAACUUUGCGGAGCUGGUUUUUUAUUGUGAUGCUCAGUGAACCUCUCAGUUCUUACGUGUGGCUGCAAGCUUCUCUGCUAUCAUUUGGGCCUCUGUAAGGCUGCAGAGUGAGCCUUCUUCAUGGCCCCUCCUUUUGCAGGUGUUUAUAUCUGCUCUCCAGUAGAAAGCCCUUCUCCACACUUUGCCAUUAAGCAGUUUGCCAGAACAAUUUGAAGCAAAUAGGGAGGUUGUGGGAGAGUUCCCAAGUCACCCCUCAGAGAUGGACUGAGAUCAGAAACUUAGUAAUUCUAACCUUAUCAAUCAUCUUGGCUGUGAAGACCAUCUUCACUGGCCUGGAUCUUCCUUCCCCCAACCAAAACAAAAAACCAGUUAGCAGCCAGCACUUGCAUCACACACCUGCUAAGUGCGAGAAAUUCUGUGUUAGUUAUUUCUAUUUAAGCUACCUCAUUCUUAGUUCUCUAAACUAUGUGUGACAGCAGCUCAUUUAUUCUUCCUCAAAAUUCUGUAGUGCAGAUAAAGCUACUUCCUUAAUGGAUGAGGAUACUGAAUGAAAUUUGCCUGGGUAAAAUACUCAGGAAAAGACAGAUUUAGGAUUCCAAUGUUGGUCUUCUUGGCUUCGGGUUCUAGGCUAUUUCCAAAUCCCCUGAAGCUUCUCAGUUUGGGAAUGCCUGAGUCAGGGAGACCAUUUAGGCUGGAAAGGACACGGUUGAUGAAAUACACUGAGAAGGUUCCACAUAUGAGGUCUCUCCAGAGAUGUCUGGAAUUCCUCAGUCAGAAUCUCUGUUUUCGGCUAAGGUGCAUUUACAAAGGGGCAGCAGAGGCUCUCAGUACUGACCUGGGGGGCACACAGCCCCCUGUUCCAGUGGGUCUCUAGAUCAGAUGGCACCACCAGCCAACGGAGGGCACAGGUGAGUAUGGAUGUCAGGAGAGGAUGAAGAGGCUUCAAGAAGAGGCCGGAAGAGCUGGAAGAGUCAAUGCAACAGGUAUUGUGGGUGUUAUUGGGAGCCAGGCUCUGGGCUGAUUGCAGGCUGUGGGCUGGAGGGACGUGGUCUAUGAGGGAGGAAGGUGGAGCACGUCUACAGCAGUGUGUGGGUCACGAGUGUCAAUGGGAAAGAACAUAGAAGGCAAAUUCAAGCUAUGUUUCUAUGACCUUCGUGUCCCAUAUUGAAGGAACACAUGCUGAACUUUUGGAAGUUUUGUUCCUUUGAAGCAGGUGACCCAGGCAACCCUUCCCAAAGCAAAGAAGAGGUCAUUCUCAUAAUGCUGUGUACAUCUCAUCAUCCCGGCAUCCCUUUGCCCACAGAAGAACCCUACGAACUGUGAAGGGGAAGCAGGGUGUGUAAUAGAGAAAUAACACCCCAUUUCAAUUCUGUUCUUGGUGG